AACGAACGCUGGCGGCAUGCCUAACACAUGCAAGUCGAACGAGACCUUCGGGUCUAGUGGCGCACGGGUGCGUAACGCGUGGGAACCUGCCCUUAGGUUCGGAAUAACUCCCCGAAAGGGGUGCUAAUACCGGAUAAUGUCUUCGGACCAAAGAUUUAUCGCCUUUGGAUGGGCCCGCGUUGGAUUAGCUAGUUGGUAGGGUAAAAGCCUACCAAGGCGACGAUCCAUAGCUGGUCUGAGAGGAUGAUAAGCCACACUGGGACUGAGACACGGCCCAGACUCCUACGGGAGGCAGCAGUGGGGAAUAUUGGACAAUGGGCGAAAGCCUGAUCCAGCAAUGCCGCGUGAGUGAUGAAGGCCUUAGGGUUGUAAAGCUCUUUUACCCGGGAUGAUAAUGACAGUACCGGGAGAAUAAGCACCGGCUAACUCCGUG
This 433-nucleotide ribosomal RNA is filed under the name uncultured bacterium. RNAcentral describes it as "partial 16S ribosomal RNA". It matches the Rfam family "Bacterial small subunit ribosomal RNA", at positions 29 to 507 of the family's 1533-position model. The record is from RNAcentral.